This is a non-coding RNA of Engraulis encrasicolus (European anchovy), 73 nucleotides long. The record is from the annotation of a RefSeq genome assembly. Lineage: Eukaryota; Metazoa; Chordata; Actinopteri; Clupeiformes; Engraulidae.
UUCCGGAUAGCUCAGUUGGUAGAGGUUCAGACUUUUGAUCUGAAGGUCCAGGGUUCAAGUCCCUGUUCAGGCG